This 492-nucleotide ribosomal RNA is filed under the name uncultured bacterium. RNAcentral's name for it is "partial 16S ribosomal RNA". It matches the Rfam family "Bacterial small subunit ribosomal RNA", at positions 29 to 507 of the family's 1533-position model. The record is from RNAcentral.
AAUGAACGCUGGCGGCAUGCCUAACACAUGCAAGUCGAACGACAGCACAGGGAGAGCUUGCUCUUGCGGGUGGCGAGUGUCGGACGGGUCAGGAAUGCAUCGGAUACCACUUUUUCAUGGGGGAUAACGUAGGGAAACUUACGCUAACACCGCAUAUGUCCUACGGGUGUAAGCAGGGGUGCUUUUGACUUUUUGCGAUUGUAAGAGCUGAUGUCGGAUUAGCUAGGUGGCUGGGUAAAGGCCCAGCAAGGCGACGCUCCGUAGCUGGCCUGAGAGGAUGGUUAGCUACACGGGAACUGAGACACGGUCCAGACUCCUACGGGAGGCAGCAGUGGGGAAUCUUGCGCAAUGGGCGAAAGCGUGAUACAGCAAUACCGCGUGAGUGAUGAAGGACUUCGGGUUGUAAAGCCCUGUUGUUGGGAAAGAAAAAAAGCAGGUUAAUCCGCGGAGGUUAUGACGGUACCGAAAGAAUAAGCCCCGGCUAACUUCGUG